CUGGCUCAGGACGAACGCUGGCGGCGUGCUUAACACAUGCAAGUCGAGCGGUAAGGCCCUUCGGGGUACACGAGCGGCGAACGGGUGAGUAACACGUGGGUGAUYUGCCCUGCACUCUGGGAUAAGCCUGGGAAACUGGGUCUAAUACCGGAUAUGACCUGCUCUCGCAUGGGGGUGGGUGGAAAGAUUUAUCGGUGCAGGAUGGGCCCGCGGCCUAUCAGCUUGUUGGUGGGGUAAUGGCCUACCAAGGCGACGACGGGUAGCCGACCUGAGAGGGUGACCGGCCACACUGGGACUGAGACACGGCCCAGACUCCUACGGGAGGCAGCAGUGGGGAAUAUUGCACAAUGGGCGAAAGCCUGAUGCAGCGACGCCGCGUGAGGGAUGAAGGCCUUCGGGUUGUAAACCUCUUUCAGCAGGGACGAAGCGCAAGUGACGGUAC
RNAcentral lists this ribosomal RNA (442 nucleotides) under Rhodococcus sp. R-37575. RNAcentral describes it as "bacterial SSU rRNA". It matches the Rfam family "Bacterial small subunit ribosomal RNA", at positions 19 to 478 of the family's 1533-position model. Lineage: Bacteria; Bacillati; Actinomycetota; Actinomycetes; Mycobacteriales; Nocardiaceae. The record is from RNAcentral.